CCUACGGGAGGCAGCAGGCGCGAAAACUUUGCAAUGCGGGAAACCGUGACAAGGGAACUCUGAGUGCCCGUAAAAUCGGGCUGUCCAUCAGUUUAAAAAACUGGUGAAGAAAGGGCCGGGCAAGACCGGUGCCAGCCGCCUUGUUAAGUCUCUGGGGAAAUCUUCCGGCUUAACCGGAAGGCGUUUCAGGGAUACUGGCAGACUAGGGACCGGAAGAGGUGAGAGGUACUCCAGGGGUAGGAGUGAAAUCCUGUAAUCCUUGGGGGACCACCUGUGGCGAAGGCGUCUCACCAGGACGGCUCCGACAGUGAGGGACGAAAGCUGGGGGAGCAAACCGGAUUAGAUACCCCCGUAGUCC
Molecule: ribosomal RNA, 358 nt
Filed under: uncultured Methanoregula sp.
Lineage: Archaea; Methanobacteriati; Methanobacteriota; Methanomicrobia; Methanomicrobiales; Methanoregulaceae
Description: bacterial SSU rRNA
Rfam family: Archaeal small subunit ribosomal RNA
Source: RNAcentral